Long non-coding RNA from Harpegnathos saltator (Jerdon's jumping ant), 169 nucleotides. RefSeq lists it as uncharacterized. NCBI's taxonomy places the organism in Eukaryota, Metazoa, Arthropoda, Insecta, Hymenoptera, Formicidae. The record is from RefSeq and is a predicted model, not a curated record. The transcript is spliced from 2 exons.
GCUCUUAGGCGCGCACCUCAAACGAUCAUUUCGCGAAUAAAAGACAGGGGCAUCAGGAGGGUCAACCCCGAAUUCUCACGAGACGAGUUCCGUAAGAUAUUGCUCCCCGUCAAUCGAUGCUUUUGCCAAAAGUCAACAAAGAAACGAUCGUCUUGUGGAACCUCAUCGA